GAUGAACGCUGGCGGCGUGCUUAACACAUGCAAGUCGAACGAAGCACUUUAUUUGAUUUCCUUCGGGACUGAUUAUUUUGUGACUGAGUGGCGGACGGGUGAGUAACGCGUGGGUAACCUGCCUUGUACAGGGGGAUAACAGUUGGAAACGGCUGCUAAUACCGCAUAAGCGCACAGCAUCGCAUGAUGCAGUGUGAAAAACUCCGGUGGUAUAAGAUGGACCCGCGUUGGAUUAGCUAGUUGGUGAGGUAACGGCCCACCAAGGCGACGAUCCAUAGCCGACCUGAGAGGGUGACCGGCCACAUUGGGACUGAGACACGGCCCAAACUCCUACGAGAGGCAGCAGUGGGGAAUAUUGCACAAUGGGCGAAAGCCUGAUGCAGCGACGCCGCGUGAGCGAAGAAGUAUUUCGGUAUGUAAAGCUCUAUCAGCAGGGAAGAUAAUGACGGUACCUGACUAAGAAGCACCGGCUAAAUACGU
Molecule: ribosomal RNA, 480 nt
Filed under: uncultured bacterium
Lineage: Bacteria
Description: partial 16S ribosomal RNA
Rfam family: Bacterial small subunit ribosomal RNA
Source: RNAcentral